GGUCCUAUGGUGUAAUGGUUAGCACUCUGGACUUUGAAUCCAGCGAUCUGAGUUCAAAUCUCGGUAGGACCU
This 72-nucleotide transfer RNA is filed under the name Sarcophilus harrisii (Tasmanian devil). RNAcentral's name for it is "tRNA-Gln (TTG) (tRNA-Gln-TTG-2-1)". It matches the Rfam family "tRNA". Rfam says of the family: Transfer RNA (tRNA) molecules are approximately 80 nucleotides in length. Their secondary structure includes four short double-helical elements and three loops (D, anti-codon, and T loops). RNAcentral also lists the same sequence under 1 other name. The record is from Rfam by way of RNAcentral. Lineage: Eukaryota; Metazoa; Chordata; Mammalia; Dasyuromorphia; Dasyuridae.